Molecule: long non-coding RNA, 248 nt
Filed under: Brassica napus (rape)
Lineage: Eukaryota; Viridiplantae; Streptophyta; Magnoliopsida; Brassicales; Brassicaceae
Description: long non-coding RNA (BNAP_LNC025078)
Source: RNAcentral
GGUGUUCAAUCCAGAUAUCAGAUUGGUUUCGGUUCGGUUUGGUUUUUUUCGGUAUUUUGGUUAGUAAAAUAUAACUACUAUUCUAAAUCCAUAUUUACUUUGACUUUAAUCUUUCACAUACUUUUGAAAGAUUUCAACUCGACAACUAAAUUGAUCAGCCAAUCUUGUUGCUUUAAAUCAUUAGUAUUUAUAUAUAUAUUAUUUAGGUUGAAUAUUUACUAAAUAAAAAUUCAUAUGCGUUAUAUUUU